RNAcentral lists this ribosomal RNA (470 nucleotides) under uncultured bacterium. Its description in RNAcentral is "bacterial SSU rRNA". It matches the Rfam family "Bacterial small subunit ribosomal RNA", at positions 28 to 496 of the family's 1533-position model. The record is from RNAcentral.
GAUGAACGCUGGCGGCGUGCUUAACACAUGCAAGUCGAACGAAGCUGCUUAACUGAUCUUCUUCGGAAUUGAUGUUUUGUAGACUGAGUGGCGGACGGGUGAGUAACGCGUGGGUAACCUGCCCUGUACAGGGGGAUAACAGUUAGAAAUGACUGCUAAUACCGCAUAAGACCACAGCACCGCAUGGUGCAGGGGUAAAAACUCCGGUGGUACAGGAUGGACCCGCGUCUGAUUAGCUGGUUGGUGAGGUAACGGCUCACCAAGGCGACGAUCAGUAGCCGGCUUGAGAGAGUGAACGGCCACAUUGGGACUGAGACACGGCCCAAACUCCUACGGGAGGCAGCAGUGGGGAAUAUUGCACAAUGGGGGGAACCCUGAUGCAGCGACGCCGCGUGAGUGAAGAAGUAUCUCGGUAUGUAAAGCUCUAUCAGCAGGGAAGAAAAUGACGGUACCUGACUAAGAAGCCCCGG